Bufo bufo (common toad) is the source of this 148-nucleotide long non-coding RNA. RefSeq lists it as uncharacterized. The transcript has 3 exons. NCBI's taxonomy places the organism in Eukaryota, Metazoa, Chordata, Amphibia, Anura, Bufonidae. The record is from RefSeq and is a predicted model, not a curated record.
GGUGUUGUGGUGCGCCAUCGCCAGUUAGAAGGUGACAACGGGCGCUUGAUGCGGCCCGAUGGUGUCCAUUUAAACGACAUAGGGUUAGAUAUUUUCUUAUCCGGUUUACAGGAUGGUGUCGAGCAGGCCCAGCGGAAAGGAAAAGGUC